Molecule: long non-coding RNA, 322 nt
Filed under: Jatropha curcas
Lineage: Eukaryota; Viridiplantae; Streptophyta; Magnoliopsida; Malpighiales; Euphorbiaceae
Description: long non-coding RNA (JCUR_LNC000701)
Source: RNAcentral
UCAAACAAUCCGGCGAGAAUUUCCUUGCAAACAAAUACGAACUGGAGUAAUUCGAUUUCCUUAACUCGUCAAUCAACACCGGUGAUAUUUCAGUCGGCCGGUAGGUGUAAGGAUGGCCGUUGGUAGUGCCUGUCCAAUUGACCCUUGUUAGCGUGUAGUGAGUACAGCCUUUAGGAUCCGCCAUUGAUAAGAGAGUAGGAAAAUAAUGCUCUUCUGGGUAACACUCAUCAGCUCUGUAACAGGGUUGCUUAAAUUUCUUCCAAAGACUCCGAUCCUUAAUCACUAUGAGCGCGUGGCGGCGCGUUAACACAAAAAACUGAGA